This 1315-nucleotide ribosomal RNA is filed under the name Dicentrarchus labrax (European seabass). RNAcentral describes it as "partial 16S ribosomal RNA". It matches the Rfam family "Bacterial large subunit ribosomal RNA", at positions 580 to 2574 of the family's 2925-position model. Lineage: Eukaryota; Metazoa; Chordata; Actinopteri; Moronidae. The record is from RNAcentral.
AAGCAGAGCUUUUUCCUCGUACCUUUUGCAUCAUGAUUUAGCUAGUAAAAUUCAAGCAAAGAGCACUUUAGUUUGACACCCCGAAACUAGAUGAGCUACUCCAAGGCAGCCUGACUUAUAGGGCGCACCCGUCUCUGUGGCAAAAGAGUGGGAAGACCUUUGAGUAGGAGUGAUAAACCUAUCGAAUCUAGUUAUAGCUGGUUGCCUGGGAACUGGAUAGGAGUUCAGCCUCCCGGCUUCUUUCGUCAACACAUAAUAUUCAAGGGCCCCCGCCCUUAAACCCGACAUAACAGAAACCGCGAGAGUUAGUCAGAGGGGGUACAGCCCCUCUGACACAAGAUACAACUUUCCAAGGCGGGUAAUGACCACAUAGUUCAAGGCAAAGUAUUCUGGUGGGCCUACAAGCAGCCAUCCCCAAAGAGUGCGUUAAAGCUCAAACAUACUUAUACCCUUAUAUUCUGGUAGCCCUAUCACAACCCCCUAAAUUUACCAGGCCUUCCCAUGCAAACAUGGGAGAGUUUAUGCUAAAAUGAGUAAUAAGAGGGCAUAUUUUCGCCCCUCUCUCCAGCACAUGUGUAACUCGGAACGGACCCCCCACCGAGCUUUAACGGCCCCAAUAAAAGAGGGAACUGAAUAAUGAAUAAAAAACUAGAAAACCAUUCAAAAACUACCGUUAACCCUACACUGGUGUACCUUCAGAGAAAGACUCAAAGGGUAAGAAGGAAUUCGGCAAACAUGAGCCCCGCCUGUUUACCAAAAACAUCGCCUCUUGCAAACUUAUGAAUAAGAGGUCCCGCCUGCCCUGUGACUAUAUGUUUAACGGCCGCGGUAUCUUAACCGUGCGAAGGUAGCGCAAUCACUUGUCUUUUAAAUGGAGACCUGUAUGAAUGGCAUCACGAGGGCUUGACUGUCUCCUUUCCCUGGUCAAUGAAAUUGAUCUCCCCGUGCAGAAGCGGGGAUACGCACAUAAGACGAGAAGACCCUAUGAAGCUUUAGACACAAGGGAGACUACCUUAAUUACCCCUGGAUAAAGGGCAAAAGCUAAAGGUACCCCUCCCCAGCGUCUUUGGUUGGGGCGACCGCGGGGUAAAACAAAACCCCCAUGUGGAAUAGGAGCACCCCUCCUUCAACCAAGAGCUCCCGCUCUAAGGAACAGAACUUUUGACCAAUCAAUGAUCCGGCAUCGCCGAUCAACGAACCGAGUUACCCUAGGGAUAACAGCGCAAUCCCCUUUUAGAGCCCUUAUCGACAAGGGGGUUUACGACCUCGAUGUUGGAUCAGGACAUCCUAAUGGUGCAGCCGCUAUUAAGGGUUC